CGGGGCCAGCCGGGAGGUGUGCGAGCGGCGGAGAAGGAUGCUUUUCCAGUCUGCAGAGCUGGCUGGGCCUAAGGGAGAACUUCCCAUCAAAAAAUUGCUUGCAGGAAACAUUAGGCCGCCCUUCUCCUGUGCAAAGGUGAAAUGGCUGCACGUCGAGCAAGAAACGUGAGGGUCCCCAGCCACGCAUUUAGUAUCUCAAGCAAUGAAGUUAUUACACUGUAGAAAGAGGACAUACAAGGCAGUGCUCAACCCACAGGUGCAGUCUAGAGAUAAAGCCUGGUACAAGGAACACCAACCUAACAGUCAAAAACAGCACCACAGCUAAACUCCAGUCUCCUCUUCAUUUUGUAAACAUGUCCACUGAAAGAAGAGAGGAAGCCUGAAUUAAAAUAA
RNAcentral lists this long non-coding RNA (393 nucleotides) under Cricetulus griseus (Chinese hamster). RNAcentral describes it as "lncRNA (ENSCGRG00015040259.1)". The record is from RNAcentral. Lineage: Eukaryota; Metazoa; Chordata; Mammalia; Rodentia; Cricetidae.